UUUUUUUUUAGUUUUUUGCGCUUUUAGAAUAGUCUGCUUCCUAUCAACCAAACUAUUUUUUUAACAGUCUUGCUAAGUCUCAGUCGAUGCUAUACCCGUGAGAUCUUACGUUGAUUCAUGCAAAAAAUUAUUUUUAGUUUUUCUUUUUCUCUAUUGCAUGUUAUGUUACUUGACUGAGACUUUGUUAAAUCUCAGGCGACUGAGACCUAGUCAUACCCUUUUUUUAAGGCUACUAGUCAAGUCUUAAUAAAGUAGGCUUGUGACAUAAAUAAAUUUUGUCGGGCUUUUAAAAUAAACUGGUUAGGGGACGACUUACGUCAACUUAUUUUAGAUGCCAACAGAAGAACUGGCCCAAGGAAAAUGUUUGUAGUUUGACAAAACUACUCUAAACCUCGUCGUUGUCGUUUUGUUGUGACACACGCCCAGUCAGCUAGAAUGCACCGAGUCUAAUCUACUGUAUCGUAGAUAUUGCCCAAUUUAAAUUUUGCUCGAGCGCGUGUUAUUCUCUUAUCCUUAUGUACUCUGAAACACUUCGCUUUACUCCAUGCCAUUAUGUAUGUUAGAUACAAUUCUUCUUCCAUUUCUUUCUUCCUAUACAAGAAAAGCUCUUCUCCUCUCGUCGGCGCCGCCCCCGCCCCCGCCGGUCCGCCCCCAUCUCUUUCCUCCUCUAGAGAUAAAGAAUGUUUCCCUAAAAAACAAUAUGGUGCCUUACUAUUGUUUCUCCCCCAGCAUGAAACGUCUCUUACAACGCACGCAUGUAAAAUCUAGGCCUAACAGUCCUGAGAUGUUAGUUCAUCUGUGCGCCCAACUUAUCAAUAUAGUGCACUGACUCACACAGAACUUCAUUCUCCUCUUUGCACUAAUCGCCAAAAAGUAGGAACUUUCAAUGUGAAACGCUCUAGCAUUAAACGGCACAACGAUUGGAUUUCAGACUUAAAAUUUUAACUCUGGAUUUUAGACUUCAAAUUUGAGUUCAGACUUAUUUUAGAGAGAAAUAUGUGGGUUUGUUAGUUAAAUGAGAAGUGAUUUAUGGCACCGUGAUGAAUCUAGUCGUGUGUCAUCGCUUUGUAAAAUGGUUCGAUAAACACAAAUCAAGGCAUGGUUUUCUAUAUAAACAAAUAAAUUCCCAUUUAGCAAAUGAACUAUCCCCAUCGAGCAAGAUAUUCUGAUUUGACUAGACAUGUUUGCAAAAAUAAAUAAAUGAAUAGAUUAAACAUAGCAAGUCGUUUUCUAUGGGAAUGCUCACCAGCACACUUCAUUGCAAAUUUAACAUAGUUACAUCGUUCCACAAAAGAGGUGAAACGGAACUAGGAGGAUCAUCCUCCCAAAACAAUUUUCGACUUAAAAUCAUAUGAGUGUCUAGCUAGCUUGCGCGCCACCCUGUUGGCCUCCCUUGGACAGUAACGGAUGCCACUGAACCAACCCUGGCAAAUUUCAUUAACUCCUUCGUUUUCUCAAAGUAGCAAAUUUCAUGAACUCCUUGAUUUUCUCAAAGUAAAAGAGGCCGUCGGCAAAUUUCACAAAAAUAAUCAGAGAUAACUAGUGACUAAUUGUGAAAUUGGUGUGCAUCAGACAAGUGUCUCUUGAGUGGAGUUAAAAGGCAUUGUGCAGUGUAUGUGUAUGUAGCUUUACGUUUUCUUUAGCGCAGUUAGUGUCAUGUCGCGUGCUUUAUUUUGCAGUAGUAGAUGGUAAAGCAUGGUGCCUUACUAAACAUACUAGUACCAGAGAUAAAGUCUAUGUUUCCCUCAGAAAAAGUAUGGUGCCUUGCUGCUGUCUUUAUUACUAAUUUCGCCCCCAGCAUGAAACGUCUCUUACAACGCACGGCAAUCCCAAAGUUGGCACUAAUUAGGCAAUCAUGUGCUGUUAAAUCUAGACCUAAAAGGUCUUGAAACAUUAGUGCGUCGAAAUUAUCAGUACACUGACUCACAUAACUUCAUUCUCCGCUUUGCACUAAUCGCCGAAAAGUACUCCCUCCGUUCCUAAAUAUUUGUCUUUCUAAAGAUUUCAACAAGUGACUACAUACGAAGCAAAAUGAGUGAAUCUACACUCUAAAAUAGGUUUACAUACAUCCUUAUGUUGUAAUCAUUUGAAAUGUCUAGAAAGACAAAUGUUUAGAAACGGAGGGAGUAAUACAUUAAACAGUGAAACGCUUUAGACUUCAGACAUCAAAUUUUAACUCUGGGUUUCAGGCUCUCCAGAUCCAGAAGACCGCAUGAUUCAUAAAACAAGUAUACCAAGCGAGGAACGCGACGACGCAACAAAUUCACAGAAGCUACACUACCUGUAAAUUUGAUGACCUUACUAGAUGUUAGUUCCAGAGAAAUUUCAAAUGAUUUUUUCAAGAGUUGAGGACUAUAUUUGUCAGGAUGGGAAAUCUUUUGAGAUCUAUAUAAAUAUAGCAAACUCUGACAACGCAGCAAGCACACCACCUAUGCCCAGAAGAAACUCUACCUACAUUUGCCAGGCUAA
This 2469-nucleotide long non-coding RNA is filed under the name Triticum aestivum (bread wheat). RNAcentral's name for it is "long non-coding RNA (TAES_LNC025012)". The record is from RNAcentral. Lineage: Eukaryota; Viridiplantae; Streptophyta; Magnoliopsida; Poales; Poaceae.